This 253-nucleotide ribosomal RNA is filed under the name uncultured bacterium. Its description in RNAcentral is "partial 16S ribosomal RNA". It matches the Rfam family "Bacterial small subunit ribosomal RNA", at positions 524 to 776 of the family's 1533-position model. The record is from RNAcentral.
UACAGAGGGUGCGAGCGUUAAUCGGAAUUACUGGGCGUAAAGCGUGCGUAGACGGUUAUUUAAGUCGGAUGUGAAAUCCCCGGGCUCAACCUGGGAAUUGCAUUCGAGACUGAAUAGCUAGGGUACGGUAGAGGGAAGUGGAAUUUCCGGUGUAGCGGUGAAAUGCGUAGAUAUCGUGAAGAACACCCGUGGCGAAGGCGGUUCUCUGGGACGGUACUGACGCUGAGACGCGAAAGCGUGGGGAGCGAACAGG